Non-coding RNA from Saimiri boliviensis boliviensis (Bolivian squirrel monkey), 1116 nucleotides. The record is from RefSeq and is a predicted model, not a curated record. Lineage: Eukaryota; Metazoa; Chordata; Mammalia; Primates; Cebidae.
UUUCUGAAAUCAAAUAAGAGACAGAAACUCCCAACUCCACUGUCGUGUUAGGAAGGAGGCCGGGAAAGGUUUAUUGAGCGUCUUCGAAUCUCCAGGCACCAGAGCAGCGCGGGGAAACGGGGAUAAGCGUGGAUGAGGGUCUCAGCCCUCCGUGAUGGGAUUUCAGAGGGGAGGUAAAGGACUGCCCGGAAGGGUGGCGAGUGGGGUAGUUGAUAGAAAUAACGGGGUGCGAUGAACUACGUAGGAGGGCCGCCAGUCACAUAUGGGGCGGGUGCGGAGGGCCCUCAAUCAAGGGAGGCUUCCCGGACGGCUGACACCCAAGCGGAGUCCUGACAACCUGCGUCAGGAAUAGCCAGGCGAGGAGGAGGAGGUGAGAGGAAUCCGCGUCCCAAGCGGAGAGGCAGCUUUCCCUACGCGGCACGGGACACGGCCCGCGCACAGGUGCCACGAGAGACGCGGGCGCGGGCGCAGGCGCUCGGGAGAACCCUUGCCGGGCCCUCGCGGUCCACGCGCCGCCUCCCUGCGACCGUAUCUGGUGGUCAGCCUCCUGCCCGGCAGAGGGGAAUGAGCCCCUCGUCCUGCAGGAAAACGUGGACCGCUCUCCGCCGACAGGUCCCUUCCACAGACUCACCUUGCCUUCGCCCCCAGUCUCUUUCGGUUCUGUCUUUUGGCUGGAUUGACACAAACAGGGAAGUCGCCCCCAGCGGAGGCCCGGCCCUUGACGGCGGAGGCGGCCAGGGGGCGGAGUCAAACGAGGUGGUCCCGCCUCCCGGGGGAAAGGGCGGGGCAUGCAAAUUUGAAAUGAAAGCCCGGCCACGCGGGAAGAGCAAGGGUAAAAGAUUUCUCUUUUAAAACGUGGAGAAUAAAAAAAUCAGCCCGAGUGUGUAAUGGCGUGAAUAGCGGUGUGGACGAGACAAAGAGAAUGAGGCAAGGAGCGAGGCUGGGGCUCUCACCGCGACUGUAAUGUGGAUGACGGUGGGACGGUGACGGCGGGGACGCAGGCGACAGCAUCGCUUCUCGGCCUUUUGGCUAAGAUCAAGUGUAGUAUCUGUUCUUAUCAGUUUAAUAUCUGAUACGUCCUCUAUCCGAGGACAAUAUAUUAAAUGGAUUUUUGGA